GUGGGUGUGCCGGAGCGGUCAAACGGGCUGCCCUUAAGAGGCAGUAGCUUUAUGCUUGCGAGGGUUCGAAUCCUUUCACCCACA
Molecule: transfer RNA, 84 nt
Filed under: archaeon
Lineage: Archaea
Description: tRNA-Leu
Rfam family: tRNA
About the family: Transfer RNA (tRNA) molecules are approximately 80 nucleotides in length.
Source: RNAcentral